This 435-nucleotide ribosomal RNA is filed under the name uncultured bacterium. RNAcentral's name for it is "partial 16S ribosomal RNA". It matches the Rfam family "Bacterial small subunit ribosomal RNA", at positions 29 to 507 of the family's 1533-position model. The record is from RNAcentral.
AGCGAACGCUGGCGGCAGGCUUAACACAUGCAAGUCGAGCGGGCACUUUCGGGUGUCAGCGGCGGACGGGUGAGUAACGCGUGGGAACGUGCCCUCUGGUUCGGAAUAACUCAGGGAAACUUGAGCUAAUACCGGAUACGCCCUUUUGGGGAAAGGCUUGCUGCCGGAGGAUCGGCCCGCGUCUGAUUAGCUAGUUGGUGAGGUAACGGCUCACCAAGGCGACAAUCAGUAGCUGGUCUGAGAGGAUGAUCAGCCACACUGGGACUGAGACACGGCCCAGACUCCUACGGGAGGCAGCAGUGGGGAAUAUUGGACAAUGGGCGCAAGCCUGAUCCAGCCAUGCCGCGUGAGUGAUGAAGGCCUUAGGGUUGUAAAGCUCUUUUAUCCGGGACGAUAAUGACGGUACCGGAGGAAUAAGCCCCGGCUAACUUCGUG